RNAcentral lists this transfer RNA (74 nucleotides) under Alphaproteobacteria bacterium. Its description in RNAcentral is "tRNA-Cys". It matches the Rfam family "tRNA". From Rfam's summary of the family: Transfer RNA (tRNA) molecules are approximately 80 nucleotides in length. Their secondary structure includes four short double-helical elements and three loops (D, anti-codon, and T loops). Further hydrogen bonds mediate the characteristic L-shaped molecular structure. tRNAs have two regions of fundamental functional importance: the anti-codon, which is responsible for specific mRNA codon recognition, and the 3' end, to which the tRNAs corresponding amino acid is attached (by aminoacyl-tRNA synthetases). tRNAs cope with the degeneracy of the genetic code in two manners: having more than one tRNA (with a specific anti-codon) for a particular amino acid; and 'wobble' base-pairing, i.e. permitting non-standard base-pairing at the 3rd anti-codon position. The record is from RNAcentral. Lineage: Bacteria; Pseudomonadati; Pseudomonadota; Alphaproteobacteria.
GGCGCGGUGGCCGAGUGGUCAGGCAGAGGUCUGCAACACCUUCCACGCCGGUUCGAUUCCGGCCCGUGCCUCCA